RNAcentral lists this ribosomal RNA (426 nucleotides) under uncultured cyanobacterium. Its description in RNAcentral is "bacterial SSU rRNA". It matches the Rfam family "Bacterial small subunit ribosomal RNA", at positions 356 to 795 of the family's 1533-position model. Lineage: Bacteria; Bacillati; Cyanobacteriota. The record is from RNAcentral.
GGGGAAUUUUCCGCAAUGGGCGAACAGCCUGACNGAGCAAGACCGCGGGGGGGAGGAAGGUUCUUGUGAUUGUCAACCCCUUCUCUCAGGGAAGAAGAAAGUGACGGUACCUGAGGAAGAAGCAUCGGCUAACUCCGUGCCAGCAGCCGCGGUAAUACGGGGGAUGCAAGCGUUAUCCGGAAUGAUUGGGCGUAAAGAGUCCGUAGGUGGCUCAUCAAGUCUGCUGUUAAAGAGCNNUNCUUAACUUCGUAAAAGCAGUGGAAACUGAAGAGCUAGAGUAUAGUAGGGGCAGAGGGAAUUCCUGGUGUAGCGGUGAAAUGCGUAGAGAUCAGGAAGAACACCGGUGGCGAAAGCGCUCUGCUGGGCUAAAACUGACACUGAGGGACGAAAGCUAGGGGAGCGAAUGGGAUUAGAUACCCCAUAGUC